Molecule: long non-coding RNA, 183 nt
Filed under: Salvator merianae (Argentine black and white tegu)
Lineage: Eukaryota; Metazoa; Chordata; Lepidosauria; Squamata; Teiidae
Description: lncRNA (ENSSMRG00000006697.1)
Source: RNAcentral
GUUGGGGGGAAUUUGGAGGCUUCUUCUCAAAAGGAACAUUCAGCAAACAAAUUAAAACAAAAUUAACAAGAACCAGCAGAAGAUAACCCGAAUGAUGUCUGCCUGUACCUCAAGAAUGAAGACAGAGUGAUCUGGCUUUAAAAGUAAAAAUCUGAGAAAAAAAUCCAAAAUAUCUAAGUAUUG